UGGGGAAUAUUGGGCAAUGGGCGCAAGCCUGACUCAGCAACGCCGCGUGAAGGAAGAAGGCUUUCGGGUUGUAAACUUCUUUUCUAAGGGACGAAGGAAGUGACGGUACCUUAGGAAUAAGCCACGGCUAACUACGUGCC
RNAcentral lists this ribosomal RNA (140 nucleotides) under uncultured bacterium. RNAcentral's name for it is "partial 16S ribosomal RNA". It matches the Rfam family "Bacterial small subunit ribosomal RNA", at positions 355 to 509 of the family's 1533-position model. The record is from RNAcentral.